RNAcentral lists this non-coding RNA (463 nucleotides) under Foot-and-mouth disease virus O. RNAcentral's name for it is "Foot-and-mouth disease virus - type O Aphthovirus internal ribosome entry site (IRES)". It matches the Rfam family "Aphthovirus internal ribosome entry site (IRES)". Rfam says of the family: IRES elements allow cap and end-independent translation of mRNA in the host cell. The IRES achieves this by mediating the internal initiation of translation by recruiting a ribosomal 43S pre-initiation complex directly to the initiation codon and eliminates the requirement for eIF4F. Lineage: Riboviria; Orthornavirae; Pisuviricota; Pisoniviricetes; Picornavirales; Picornaviridae. The record is from Rfam by way of RNAcentral.
AAUCAGGUUUCCUCAACUGACACAAACCGUGCAAUCUGCAGCUCCGCCUGGUCUUUCCAGGUCUAGAGGAGUAACAUUUUGUACUGUGCUUGACUCCACGCUCGGUCUACUGGCGGGUGUUAGUAGCGGCACUGUUGCUUCGUAGCGGAGCAUGUUGGCCGUGGGAACUCCUCCUUGGCAACAAGGACCCACGGGGCCAAAAGCCACGUCCUCAUGGACCCAACAUGUGUGCAACCCCAGCACGGCAACUUUUCCGCGAAAACCACUUUAAGGUAACACUGAUACUGGUACUCAAACGCUGGUGACAGGCUAAGGAUGCCCUUCAGGUACCCCGAGGUAACACGUGACACUUGGGAUCUGAGAAGGGGACUAGGGCUUCUAUAAAAGCGCCUGGUUUAAAAAGCUUCUAUGCCUGAAUAGGUGACCGGAGGCCGGCACCUUUCCCUUUUCGCACUACUAAACA